Molecule: non-coding RNA, 46 nt
Organism: Otolemur garnettii (small-eared galago)
Lineage: Eukaryota; Metazoa; Chordata; Mammalia; Primates; Galagidae
Source: Rfam
CCUUUGGCUGUUUUAGCAGCCACAUUUUGACAUAGUAGAGAAAAUU